This is a small nucleolar RNA of Hibiscus syriacus, 108 nucleotides long. The record is from RefSeq and is a predicted model, not a curated record. NCBI's taxonomy places the organism in Eukaryota, Viridiplantae, Streptophyta, Magnoliopsida, Malvales, Malvaceae.
AAUCCAUGCAUUGGGCAUUUACACAGUAAGUCUUUGAAUCUUUCCCAUGUCUCAUACAAACUCUCAUCUUCUACUUGCUUAAAAUAUGUCAAGUCAUUUCAUAAAUUU